GUGCUUCCUUUGGCAGUACAUAUGAUAAAAUUAGAAUGAUGCAUAGAAGAUUAGCUUCUGUGCAAGAACAACAUGCAAAUUUGUCAAGUAUUCUAUACCUUG
Molecule: small nuclear RNA, 102 nt
Organism: Suncus etruscus (white-toothed pygmy shrew)
Lineage: Eukaryota; Metazoa; Chordata; Mammalia; Eulipotyphla; Soricidae
Source: RefSeq, a predicted model, not a curated record